RNAcentral lists this ribosomal RNA (253 nucleotides) under uncultured bacterium. RNAcentral's name for it is "partial 16S ribosomal RNA". It matches the Rfam family "Bacterial small subunit ribosomal RNA", at positions 524 to 776 of the family's 1533-position model. The record is from RNAcentral.
GACAGAGGGGGCAAGCGUUGCUCGGAAUCACUGGGCGUAAAGGGCGCGUAGGCGGUCUUGUAAGUCUUGUGUGAAAUCCCUCGGCUUAACUGAGGAACUGCACGGGAUACUGCAUGACUUGAGAUCGGGAGAGGGAAGCGGAAUUCCGGGUGUAGCGGUGAAAUGCGUAGAUAUCCGGAGGAACACCGGUGGCGAAGGCGAAUCUCUGGACAGUUACUGACACUGAGGCACGAAGGCCAGGGGAGCAAACGGG